GUGAGGCAAGCUUACACAUGCGAGUCGAGCGGUGAGAGGUGCUUGCACCUUAUCUUAGCGGCGGACGGGUGAGUAAUGCUUAGGAAUCUGCCUAUUAGUGGGGGACAACAUUCCGAAAGGAAUGCUAAUACCGCAUACGUCCUACGGGAGAAAGCAGGGGAUCUUCGGACCUUGCGCUAAUAGAUGAGCCUAAGUCGGAUUAGCUAGUUGGUGGGGUAAAGGCCUACCAAGGCGACGAUCUGUAGCGGGUCUGAGAGGAUGAUCCGCCACACUGGGACUGAGACACGGCCCAGACUCCUACGGGAGGCAGCAGUGGGGAAUAUUGGACAAUGGGGGGAACCCUGAUCCAGCCAUGCCGCGUGUGUGAAGAAGGCCUUAUGGUUGUAAAGCACUUUAAGCGAGGAGGAGGCUACUGAGACUAAUACUCUUGGAUAGUGGACGUUACUCGCAGAAUAAGCACCGGCUAACUCUGUGCCAGCAGCCGCGGUAAUACAGAGGGUGCGAGCGUUAAUCGGAUUUACUGGGCGUAAAGCGUGCGUAGGCGGCUUUUUAAGUCGGAUGUGAAAUCCCCGAGCUUAACUUGGGAAUUGCAUUCGAUACUGGGAAGCUAGAGUAUGGGAGAGGAUGGUAGAAUUCCAGGUGUAGCGGUGAAAUGCGUAGAGAUCUGGAGGAAUACCGAUGGCGAAGGCAGCCAUCUGGCCUAAUACUGACGCUGAGGUACGAAAGCAUGGGGGAGCAAACAGGAUUAGAUACCCUGGUAGUCCAUGCCGUAAACGAUGUCUACUAGCCGUUGGGGGCCUUUUGAGCUUUAGUGGCGCAGCUAACGCGAUAAGUAGACCGCCUGGGGGAGUACGGUCGCAAGACUAAAACUUCCAAUUGGAAUUGGACGGGGGGUCCCCAGUCAACCAAAAGUCCG
This 916-nucleotide ribosomal RNA is filed under the name Acinetobacter junii. RNAcentral describes it as "bacterial SSU rRNA". It matches the Rfam family "Bacterial small subunit ribosomal RNA", at positions 37 to 943 of the family's 1533-position model. The record is from RNAcentral. Lineage: Bacteria; Pseudomonadati; Pseudomonadota; Gammaproteobacteria; Moraxellales; Moraxellaceae.